Molecule: ribosomal RNA, 640 nt
Filed under: Lactococcus lactis subsp. lactis
Lineage: Bacteria; Bacillati; Bacillota; Bacilli; Lactobacillales; Streptococcaceae
Description: bacterial SSU rRNA
Rfam family: Bacterial small subunit ribosomal RNA
Source: RNAcentral
UUGACGCUGAGGUUGGUACUUGUACCGACUGGNUGAGCAGCGAACGGGUGAGUAACGCGUGGGGAAUCUGCCUUUGAGCGGGGGACAACAUUUGGAAACGAAUGCUAAUACCGCAUAAAAACUUUAAACACAAGUUUUAAGUUUGAAAGAUGCAAUUGCAUCACUCAAAGAUGAUCCCGCGUUGUAUUAGCUAGUUGGUGAGGUAAAGGCUCACCAAGGCGAUGAUACAUAGCCGACCUGAGAGGGUGAUCGGCCACAUUGGGACUGAGACACGGCCCAAACUCCUACGGGAGGCAGCAGUAGGGAAUCUUCGGCAAUGGACGAAAGUCUGACCGAGCAACGCCGCGUGAGUGAAGAAGGUUUUCGGAUCGUAAAACUCUGUUGGUAGAGAAGAACGUUGGUGAGAGUGGAAAGCUCAUCAAGUGACGGUAACUACCCAGAAAGGGACGGCUAACUACGUGCCAGCAGCCGCGGUAAUACGUAGGUCCCGAGCGUUGUCCGGAUUUAUUGGGCGUAAAGCGAGCGCAGGUGGUUUAUUAAGUCUGGUGUAAAAGGCAGUGGCUCAACCAUUGUAUGCAUUGGAAACUGGUAAACUUGAUUGCANGAAAGGANAGUGNANUNCAUGUGUAGCGGUGAANCC